AAAUUGAAGAGUUUGAUCAUGGCUCAGAUUGAACGCUGGCGGCAGGCCUAACACAUGCAAGUCGAACGGUAACAGGAAGCAGCUUGCUGCUUUGCUGACGAGUGGCGGACGGGUGAGUAAUGUCUGGGAAACUGCCUGAUGGAGGGGGAUAACUACUGGAAACGGUGGCUAAUACCGCAUAACGUCGCAAGACCAAAGAGGGGGGACCUUCGGGCCUCUUGCCAUCAGAUGUGCCCAGAUGGGAUUAGCUUGUUGGUGAGGUAACGGCUCACCAAGGCGACGAUCCCUAGCUGGUCUGAGAGGAUGACCAGCCACACUGGAACUGAGACACGGUCCAGACUCCUACGGGAGGCAGCAGUGGGGAAUAUUGCACAAUGGGCGCAAGCCUGAUGCAGCCAUGCCGCGUGUAUGAAGAAGGCCUUCGGGUUGUAAAGUACUUUCAGCGGGGAGGAAGGUGUUGUGGUUAAUAACCGCAGCAAUUGACGUUACCCGCAGAAGAAGCACCGGCUAACUCCGUGCCAGCAGCCGCGGUAAUACGGAGGGUGCAAGCGUUAAUCGGAAUUACUGGGCGUAAAGCGCACGCAGGCGGUCUGUCAAGUCGGAUGUGAAAUCCCCGGGCUCAACCUGGGAACUGCAUUCGAAACUGGCAGGCUUGAGUCUUGUAGAGGGGGGUAGAAUUCCAGGUGUAGCGGUGAAAUGCGUAGAGAUCUGGAGGAAUACCGGUGGCGAAGGCGGCCCCCUGGACAAAGACUGACGCUCAGGUGCGAAAGCGUGGGGAGCAAACAGGAUUAGAUACCCUGGUAGUCCACGCCGUAAACGAUGUCUACUUGGAGGUUGUGCCCUUGAGGCGUGGCUUCCGGAGCUAACGCGUUAAGUAGACCGCCUGGGGAGUACGGCCGCAAGGUUAAAACUCAAAUGAAUUGACGGGGGCCCGCACAAGCGGUGGAGCAUGUGGUUUAAUUCGAUGCAACGCGAAGAACCUUACCUGGUCUUGACAUCCACAGAAGAAUCCAGAGAUGGAUUUGUGCCUUCGGGAACUGUGAGACAGGUGCUGCAUGGCUGUCGUCAGCUCGUGUUGUGAAAUGUUGGGUUAAGUCCCGCAACGAGCGCAACCCUUAUCCUUUGUUGCCAGCGGUCCGGCCGGGAACUCAAAGGAGACUGCCAGUGAUAAACUGGAGGAAGGUGGGGAUGACGUCAAGUCAUCAUGGCCCUUACGACCAGGGCUACACACGUGCUACAAUGGCGCAUACAAAGAGAAGCGACCUCGCGAGAGCAAGCGGACCUCAUAAAGUGCGUCGUAGUCCGGAUUGGAGUCUGCAACUCGACUCCAUGAAGUCGGAAUCGCUAGUAAUCGUGGAUCAGAAUGCCACGGUGAAUACGUUCCCGGGCCUUGUACACACCGCCCGUCACACCAUGGGAGUGGGUUGCAAAAGAAGUAGGUAGCUUAACCUUCGGGAGGGCGCUUACCACUUUGUGAUUCAUGACUGGGGUGAAGUCGUAACAAGGUAACCGUAGGGGAACCUGCGGUUGGAUCACCUCCUUA
RNAcentral lists this ribosomal RNA (1543 nucleotides) under Salmonella enterica subsp. enterica serovar Infantis. RNAcentral describes it as "bacterial SSU rRNA". It matches the Rfam family "Bacterial small subunit ribosomal RNA". Lineage: Bacteria; Pseudomonadati; Pseudomonadota; Gammaproteobacteria; Enterobacterales; Enterobacteriaceae. The record is from RNAcentral.